Molecule: transfer RNA, 72 nt
Filed under: Polymyxa betae
Lineage: Eukaryota; Endomyxa; Phytomyxea; Plasmodiophorida; Plasmodiophoridae
Description: tRNA-Arg
Source: RNAcentral
UACCGCCGCCGGGACUCGAACCCGGACCUCCAGUUCCGAAGACUAACACGCUGACCAUUGCGUCACGGCAGC